Molecule: long non-coding RNA, 430 nt
Organism: Syzygium oleosum
Lineage: Eukaryota; Viridiplantae; Streptophyta; Magnoliopsida; Myrtales; Myrtaceae
Exons: 2
Source: RefSeq, a predicted model, not a curated record
CGCCGAGUUAAGAGAUCACCCAAGAAUCACCCAAAGGACGGACUCGAAGGUGGUUCGAAGAAAACCCAUUAUUUUGCACAGAGGAUUUAGUGUGUUCUGCGACGUUUUUUAAGCCCCAGUGAAAUGGGCAGGUAGAAGGAAUCAAUAGCGACAGAGAAAUGGCCACCGAAGGAGACCAAAAAUUCGUUACUGGGGUGAGCAGAAACCGUCGCUAUUGUUAGUAUCCCAAACCCCUUUUGUCACUAGUUUUUGUAUCUACUUCCAUGAACGAGGAGAACAAGAUCUUGUGUCCAAGGUCGAAAUCUCAGACACCCGUCACAGCCUUAGAUGUGUGUGUGUAUGUUACAUUAUUUCCUCUUGAGAAACUACAACUACACGAUAGAGAAAAAGCAAAAAAAGCUUAGUUGAAGUAUCAAAAUAUAAUUGUUUC